GGGUUGUGAGGUUAAGCGACUAAGCGUACACGGUGGAUGCCCUGGCAGUCAGAGGCGAUGAAGGACGUGCUAAUCUGCGAAAAGCGUCGGUAAGGUGAUAUGAACCGUUACAGCCGGCGAUGUCCGAAUGGGGAAACCCAGUGCAAUUCGUUGCACUAUCGUUAACUGAAUACAUAGGUUAACGAGGCGAACCGGGGGAACUGAAACAUCUAAGUACCCCGAGGAAAAGAAAUCAACCGAGAUUCCCCCAGUAGCGGCGAGCGAACGGGGAGCAGCCCAGAGUCUGAAUCAGCUUGUGUGUUAGUGGAACGGUCUGGAAAGUCCGACGGUACAGGGUGAUAGUCCCGUACACCAAAAUGCACAGGCUGUGAACUCGAAGAGUAGGGCGGGACACGUGGUAUCCUGUCUGAAUAUGGGGGGACCAUCCUCCAAGGCUAAAUACUCCUGACUGACCGAUAGUGAACCAGUACCGUGAGGGAAAGGCGAAAAGAACCCCGGCGAGGGGAGUGAAAAAGAACCUGAAACCGUGUACGUACAAGCAGUGGGAGCACCUUCGGGUGUGACUGCGUACCUUUUGUAUAAUGGGUCAGCGACUUAUAUUCUGUAGCAAGGUUAACCGUAUAGGGGAGCCGCAGGGAAACCGAGUCUUAACUGGGCGUUAAGUUGCAGGGUAUAGACCCGAAACCCGGUGAUCUAGCCAUGGGCAGGUUGAAGGUUGGGUAACACUAACUGGAGGACCGAACCGACUAAUGUUGAAAAAUUAGCGGAUGACUUGUGGCUGGGGGUGAAAGGCCAAUCAAACCGGGAGAUAGCUGGUUCUCCCCGAAAGCUAUUUAGGUAGCGCCUCGUGAAUUCAUCUUCGGGGGUAGAGCACUGUUUCGGCUAGGGGGUCAUCCCGACUUACCAACCCGAUGCAAACUACGAAUACCGAAGAAUGUUAUCACGGGAGACACACGGCGGGUGCUAACGUCCGUCGUGAAGAGGGAAACAACCCAGACCGCCAGCUAAGGUCCCAAAGUCACAGUUAAGUGGGAAACGAUGUGGGAAGGCACAGACAGCCAGGAUGUUGGCUUAGAAGCAGCCAUCAUUUAAAGAAAGCGUAAUAGCUCACUGGUCGAGUCGGCCUGCGCGGAAGAUGUAACGGGGCUAAACUGUGCACCGAAGCUGCGGCAGCGACACUAUGUGUUGUUGGGUAGGGGAGCGUUCUGUAAGCCUGCGAAGGUGGCCUGUGAGGGUUGCUGGAGGUAUCAGAAGUGCGAAUGCUGACAUAAGUAACGAUAAUGCGGGUGAAAAGCCCGCACGCCGGAAGACCAAGGGUUCCUGUCCAACGUUAAUCGGGGCAGGGUGAGUCGACCCCUAAGGCGAGGCCGAAAGGCGUAGUCGAUGGGAAACAGGUUAAUAUUCCUGUACUUGGUGUUACUGCGAAGGGGGGACGGAGAAGGCUAUGUUAGCCGGGCGACGGUUGUCCCGGUUUAAGCAUGUAGGCGGAGGUUCCAGGUAAAUCCGGUACCUUUUAACGCUGAGGUGUGAUGACGAGGCACUACGGUGCUGAAGUAACAAAUGCCCUGCUUCCAGGAAAAGCCUCUAAGCAUCAGGUAACAUUGAAUCGUACCCCAAACCGACACAGGUGGUCAGGUAGAGAAUACCAAGGCGCUUGAGAGAACUCGGGUGAAGGAACUAGGCAAAAUGGUGCCGUAACUUCGGGAGAAGGCACGCUGAUAUGUAGGUGAAGCCCCUGCGGGUGGAGCUGAAAUCAGUCGAAGAUACCAGCUGGCUGCAACUGUUUAUUAAAAACACAGCACUGUGCAAACACGAAAGUGGACGUAUACGGUGUGACGCCUGCCCGGUGCCGGAAGGUUAAUUGAUGGGGUUAUCCGUAAGGAGAAGCUCUUGAUCGAAGCCCCGGUAAACGGCGGCCGUAACUAUAACGGUCCUAAGGUAGCGAAAUUCCUUGUCGGGUAAGUUCCGACCUGCACGAAUGGCGUAAUGAUGGCCAGGCUGUCUCCACCCGAGACUCAGUGAAAUUGAACUCGCUGUGAAGAUGCAGUGUACCCGCGGCAAGACGGAAAGACCCCGUGAACCUUUACUAUAGCUUGACACUGAACAUUGAGCCUUGAUGUGUAGGAUAGGUGGGAGGCUUUGAAGCGUGGACGCCAGUCUGCGUGGAGCCAACCUUGAAAUACCACCCUUUAAUGUUUGAUGUUCUAACGUUGGCCCCUUAUCGGGGUUGCGGACAGUGUCUGGUGGGUAGUUUGACUGGGGCGGUCUCCUCCCAAAGAGUAACGGAGGAGCACGAAGGUUAGCUAAUCCUGGUCGGACAUCAGGAGGUUAGUGCAAUGGCAUAAGCUAGCUUGACUGCGAGCGUGACGGCGCGAGCAGGUGCGAAAGCAGGUCAUAGUGAUCCGGUGGUUCUGAAUGGAAGGGCCAUCGCUCAACGGAUAAAAGGUACUCCGGGGAUAACAGGCUGAUACCGCCCAAGAGUUCAUAUCGACGGCGGUGUUUGGCACCUCGAUGUCGGCUCAUCACAUCCUGGGGCUGAAGUAGGUCCCAAGGGUAUGGCUGUUCGCCAUUUAAAGUGGUACGCGAGCUGGGUUUAGAACGUCGUGAGACAGUUCGGUCCCUAUCUGCCGUGGGCGCUGGAGAAUUGAGGGGGGCUGCUCCUAGUACGAGAGGACCGGAGUGGACGCAUCACUGGUGUUCGGGUUGUCAUGCCAAUGGCAUUGCCCGGUAGCUAAAUGCGGAAGAGAUAAGUGCUGAAAGCAUCUAAGCACGAAACUUGCCCCGAGAUGAGUUCUCCCUGACUCCUUGAGAGUCCUGAAGGAACGUUAAAGACGAUGACGUUGAUAGGUCGGGUGUGUAAGCGUAGCGAUACGUUGAGCUAACCGAUACUAAUGAACCGUGAGGCUUAACCUUACAACGCCGAAGGUGUUU
This 2931-nucleotide ribosomal RNA is filed under the name Klebsiella aerogenes. RNAcentral describes it as "bacterial LSU rRNA". It matches the Rfam family "Bacterial large subunit ribosomal RNA". Lineage: Bacteria; Pseudomonadati; Pseudomonadota; Gammaproteobacteria; Enterobacterales; Enterobacteriaceae. The record is from RNAcentral.